RNAcentral lists this ribosomal RNA (164 nucleotides) under uncultured bacterium. RNAcentral describes it as "partial 16S ribosomal RNA". It matches the Rfam family "Bacterial small subunit ribosomal RNA", at positions 355 to 511 of the family's 1533-position model. The record is from RNAcentral.
UAGGGAAUCUUCGGCAAUGGACGGAAGUCUGACCGAGCAACGCCGCGUGAGUGAAGAAGGUUUUCGGAUCGUAAAACUCUGUUGUUAGAGAAGAACAAGGGUGAGAGUAACUGUUCACCCCUUGACGGUAUCUAACCAGAAAGCCACGGCUAACUACGUGCCAG